This 272-nucleotide unclassified non-coding RNA is filed under the name Peniophora laxitexta. RNAcentral describes it as "partial internal transcribed spacer region". The stretch from base 1 to 46 matches the Rfam family "Eukaryotic small subunit ribosomal RNA", at positions 1786 to 1831 of the family's 1831-position model. Lineage: Eukaryota; Fungi; Basidiomycota; Agaricomycetes; Russulales; Peniophoraceae. The record is from RNAcentral.
AAGUCGUAACAAGGUUUCCGUAGGUGAACCUGCGGAAGGAUCAUUAGCGAAGUUCGGAAUGCCGGUUCGGUGCUGCAGCUGCCCAGCGAUGGGAUGUGCUCGUCCGGGCCGGUGUCCCUUCUCUAUUCCACCCCACUGUGAACCAAGCGUGCGAGCGGAAGAGAGAUCGGAAGCUCGCAUGCACACUUUAACAUACCCCUUAUGAAGUAUCUGAAUGUACCUUGCGUUAACUCGCACAAAUACAACUUUCAACAACGGAUCUCUUGGCUCUC